This is a non-coding RNA of Megalopta genalis, 915 nucleotides long. NCBI's taxonomy places the organism in Eukaryota, Metazoa, Arthropoda, Insecta, Hymenoptera, Halictidae. The record is from RefSeq and is a predicted model, not a curated record.
UUCGUUAAAAGAGGGCAGGUCAGUCGUAAUAAAAUCAGUCCUAGGCGUUACUCUGAGAAAAUCUAAACCAAAAGGGAAUGUAGGAGGGAAAACGACUUCUAAAUUAUAUACUUCUAAUUACAAUUUAUUUGAAAUAAAAAUUUGUACGAAUCACUUUCUUUAAAAUGAAUCAACAUUCAAAUAUCUGAAGGAAAGGAACAUGACAGGAAAAACAGAAACAUUUUAUUGGAUACAAAAAUCAUGAACGAGGAUGUUUCUAGAAGAAGGAUUUUGAACACAUCUAUGUAUUCUUUUGAGAAACAUCCUCAAUUAUGAACACAAAACACAGCGCCGAUAUGGUGAUGCUUCUUCUCUUUCAUCAAUGGAUACCACGCUCUUGAAAUUUUUCUUUCCUAUAAAAAAAACGGUAUUAGAAUAGCAGCGUUAGAUUCGUUACAUCUUCCACAAGAGUGCUACUGACCUGCCCUCUUCAAGCGAAACGUUUCGCUACAAAAUUGCGCCAAGACGUGCCAUUGAUUUAACAACGCAAAGCGUCUGCUCCCGAAUACCGAGCCAUUUAUUUCCAUAUUAUAUACGCCAGGGAUUUGGCCUUGGCAAAAUACAUAUCAAAUGCGAACCAAAAACAGUGUUUUUGCACCAAAUUGUCAUAAAUUUGCUCAUAAAGUACACUCUAAUAAGCAUUUUACAUGUAUUUGAUUGAAGCAGACUUGGCUGACUGGCUACAUUUUCAUGUUGUGAAUUUAAUGAAAAGAUUUAUCUACGAAAGAGAUGUUUACAGAUGAAAACUCGUUGGCCAAGCAGAACAUCGAUAAACUUGGAAUAAUGGAAUUACAAAGGAGGGACCAAUCUUUUUUAGUUGAGCACCUUUGAACCUUAUACAUUACAAGAUAAUAAAAUGAUGUUUUCUUUUAUAAU